GCCGGCUUGGCGCAAUUGGUAGCGCAUCCGACUUGUAAUCGGAAGGUUGCGGGUUCAAGUCCCGCAGCCGGCC
This 73-nucleotide transfer RNA is filed under the name Pontimonas salivibrio. It matches the Rfam family "tRNA". From Rfam's summary of the family: Transfer RNA (tRNA) molecules are approximately 80 nucleotides in length. Their secondary structure includes four short double-helical elements and three loops (D, anti-codon, and T loops). RNAcentral also lists the same sequence under 2 other names. Lineage: Bacteria; Bacillati; Actinomycetota; Actinomycetes; Micrococcales; Microbacteriaceae. The record is from Rfam by way of RNAcentral.